RNAcentral lists this ribosomal RNA (994 nucleotides) under uncultured bacterium. RNAcentral's name for it is "bacterial SSU rRNA". It matches the Rfam family "Bacterial small subunit ribosomal RNA", at positions 28 to 1065 of the family's 1533-position model. The record is from RNAcentral.
AACGUACGCUGGCGGCACGCCUAACACAUGCAAGUCGAACGAAGUAGCAAUACUUAGUGGCAGACGGGUGAGUAACAUGUAGGUAUCUGCCCUUUGGCCUGGAAUAACACGAGGAAACUUGUGCUAAUACCGGAUAAGUCUUUACGGAGAAAGCUUUAUGCACCAUUGGAUGAGCCUGCACUUGAUUAGUUUGUUGGUGGGGUAAUGGCCUACCAAGACUGUGAUCAAUAGCUGAUUUGAGAGGAUGAUCAGCCACAUUGGGACUGAGACACGGCCCAAACUCCUACGGGAGGCAGCAGUGGGGAAUCUUGCACAAUGGAGGAAACUCUGAUGCAGCGAUGCCGCGUGAGUGAAGAAGGCCCUUGGGUUGUAAAGCUCUUUCGUCGGGGAAGAAAAUGACUGUACCCGAAUAAGAAGGUCCGGCUAACUUCGUGCCAGCAGCCGCGGUAAUACGAAGGGACCUAGCGUAGUUCGGAAUUACUGGGCUUAAAGAGUUCGUAGGUGGUUGAAAAAGUUAGUGGUGAAAUCCCAGAGCUUAACUCUGGAACUGCCAUUAAAACUUUUCAGCUAGAGUAUGAUAGAGGAAAGCAGAAUUUCUAGUGUAGAGGUGAAAUUCGUAGAUAUUAGAAAGAAUACCAAUUGCGAAGGCAGCUUUCUGGAUCAUUACUGACACUGAGGAACGAAAGCAUGGGUAGCGAAGAGGAUUAGAUACCCUCGUAGUCCAUGCCGUAAACGAUGUGUGUUAGACGUUGGAAAUUUAUUUUCAGUGUCGCAGGGAAACCGAUAAACACACCGCCUGGGGGAGUACGACCGCAAGGUUAAAACUCAAAUGAAUUGACGGGGACCCGCACAAGUAGUGGAGCAUGUGGUUUAAUUCGAAGAUACGCGCAGAACCUUACCAACGCUUGACAUGUUCGUCGCGACUCUAAGAGAUUAGAGUUUUCGGUUCGGCCGGACGAAACACAGGUGCUGCAUGGCUGUCGUCAGCUCGUGU